This 468-nucleotide ribosomal RNA is filed under the name uncultured bacterium. RNAcentral's name for it is "partial 16S ribosomal RNA". It matches the Rfam family "Bacterial small subunit ribosomal RNA", at positions 28 to 507 of the family's 1533-position model. The record is from RNAcentral.
GACGAACGCUGGCGGCGUGCUUAACACAUGCAAGUCGAACGGAAAGGCCCUGCUUUUGUGGGGUGCUCGAGUGGCGAACGGGUGAGUAACACGUGAGUAACCUGCCCUUGACUUUGGGAUAACUUCAGGAAACUGGGGCUAAUACCGGAUAGGAGCUCCUGCUGCAUGGUGGGGGUUGGAACGUUUCGGCGGCUGGGGAUGGACUCGCGGCUUAUCAGCUUGUUGGUGGGGUAGUGGCUUACCCAGGCUUUGACGGGUAGCCGGCCUGAGAGGGUGACCGGCCACAUUGGGACUGAGAUACGGCCCAGACUCCUACGGGAGGCAGCAGUGGGGAAUAUUGCACAAUGGGCGGAAGCCUGAUGCAGCAACGCCGCGGGCGGGAUGGCGGCCUUCGGGUUGUAAACCGCUUUCGCCUGUGACGAAGCUUGAGUGACGGUAAUGGGUAAAGAAGCACCGGCUAACUACGUG